CACGCUCCCAUGGGGCAGGGUUUGGCUCCGCGGGGAGGCAGACACCUCCCCCCUCUCCUGGAGCCCUGCCGCCGCAUGUGCAGUGCUCUGGGAGCCGGGGCUGAGCGCGCUCCCGCGGGGCAGCGUUUGGCUCCACGGGGAGGCUAGGAGCCUCAUCGCAUGCCAUGGAACCAAACUGAACCAACUCAUGUUCUCCUAACCAGACCAGAUCUUACUGUGUGUCUUUGGACCUCUCAGUCUGAUUCCCUCUUAUUCAAACUGGUUUGGGGGAAAGCAGAAUGAAUGCAUUGGUACCCUUUUCUUACUCACAGCUUAUCGGCAACAGCAAGUCCACUAGACAUGUGGGGACACCAGCCAAGCCACCUGCAACUCCCGCUGCACUGGGAUCCCAAGGCCUGGACGUCUAGUUCCAAAAAUGAGCAGAGCUGGCCCAGAAGAGAGUGGGCUUAGGAAAGCUGGGCCAUGCACUGAUGCAGCCCAUCUCCCAGGGACCCUCCCACUGGCUGUGUUGCGAUGGCUGGAUUUUAAAGCUACCCUCCCUACAGAAACUCUCCAGAGGGCACCAGUGAGGGAAAAAGGACACAUUUUUCCUCAAAAGGGAGAUUGUCCACCUGGGUGGGAGCCAGGCACAAUGAAGCCUUCUCUGAUGUCCACGGUCCACGUAAGGGCCAUGCUCAUUUGUUCUCCCUGUGCUGAGCAGUGCUGCCUCUGUAAUCCCUAGGGCACAGUAGUCAGAAAGGGACAAGGUGUGGGGAGAGGCAAGAUCAUCAAUACUUUCCCUUUCCAAAGCAGACCCCAGUGUGGGCAGGGGAGAUUAUGAUGCACCUCAUAGAGGUAUGCAGUAGUAGAUGUAUUUGCCACGGAACUGCAACACUGUGCACCAUCUCCAACACAGGCUAUGUCUUAAAGGCACAGCUGAGCCCAUU
Trachemys scripta elegans is the source of this 926-nucleotide long non-coding RNA. RefSeq lists it as uncharacterized. The transcript has 3 exons. The record is from RefSeq and is a predicted model, not a curated record. Lineage: Eukaryota; Metazoa; Chordata; Testudines; Emydidae.